Molecule: long non-coding RNA, 1923 nt
Filed under: Nicotiana tabacum (common tobacco)
Lineage: Eukaryota; Viridiplantae; Streptophyta; Magnoliopsida; Solanales; Solanaceae
Description: long non-coding RNA (NTAB_LNC002690)
Source: RNAcentral
GACACUAAUAAAUCAUUUAUUGAGUUCAUUAUUCAUGACACUAAUACUUAUUCAUACAUUUGUAAAUAUCAAAUAUCAUACACAGUGUACAAGCACAAAUGAUAUGUAAAGUGAAUGCUUUUAGUAAUGCAUCCAAAGAACAAAAGUAGUGAUCGACUAAUUCUACUCUGUACAAAUUUGAACAAUUUAAAAGAUGUCAACACACAACUACACUAAGAUCGUUCAUAACUCAAAUAAUUCCCUUAACUUGCACAAUAAAUAUAGCGACAACGAUUCGGGGAUCCAUCUUUUCACAACUCAAGAUUCUCUUGCCAGUAAUUAAACUGACAUCCUUCAAAUGCUGCACAAAAAGUCCACAUAAGAAAGAAUUAUAACAAUAUAAUAAAAGAAAAAAGGUAAAAGUGUCUUGCAUAUGUUUUUCAACUACAUUAUUACUAGUAAUCCGGAUUGUAAACCGGGAAGAAUUAUUACAAUAGUGCUUUGAUCGUUAAAAGAAUUCAAAGCUAAGAACUUUACCAGGAACCAGACAAACUAUUGCAACUCAGUUUUGUGUAAGCUAUUGCAUUAUGCUGCAUCUGAUACAGAAACAAAGAACAUCAGUUAGAAGAAAUUGCCCAAAGCAACAAAGAACGAGGAAGGGAUAAACCAAUACUUUUACAAUAUCAUAACUAUAGCCGAUAAGAUCCUUAAAGAUUUAACUACUCUACUCCAUAAAGUGUCUCAAAAAAGAUAAGCUAUAAUUUAUUAAGAGUUCAUUUCUAUAGUAUUCAAAAAGGCCUCUCGGGAAUGGAUAAGCUAAUUUGUUUUCUUCUAACUAAUGAGGUGAUAAGUAAAUCUAAUAUUAUUGAUUUUAAAUGGUAAAAAGUAGAUCUGAUCAAGAAGUUUUCAUACACUCCGAGGUUACAAUAAUUCUUUAAUAGUUACUAGUAUGAUACACAAGGCAUCUGCAACCAAGGAGGAGCUAAUCAAAUAAAAAACUAUUGAUUACGAGUAAAAUCAGAUGUCAUAAAGAAUUUUUAUAUAUUCUAAUAUUACCAAAAUUCUUACACAAUAAAACUCACAGCACCUACAGCAAUUUUAACAGCCUUAUAGGGGCAUCAUCCGAUUAUAAAAAGGUGUACCAGUUCUCUUUAAUAACAAUAAACUGAACCGUUCAAAUUUUUAUGGAUCCGUUGUAAAAAAUCCAAGGUUAAAUGGUGUCUUAAAAUUCACUCCAAGCCUACAGACAAGGUUGGUGAGAAAAAUUAGGCUAACUGAAAUUCUACAGCCAAUUUUGCAAACCCGAACAAUUACACUCAUCUAACCUUAUGGAACUAUCCAAUAGCAAGUCCGUAAAUUCUUUAAUUUUACAAAAAGCAACUAAAGAGGAAAGAGGGAAAAUUUGAUUAACUAUUAGAUUACUUUCGGAAGUAGUGAAAAUUGAAAUAAGCCUUACGAACAACAGCUUGAACAACACCAAUCUGUAAUGAAAAAGCCACAACAAUUUAAACCCAAGUUACAUGCAUCUAAACCCUAGAACACACACCAUUAUUCACCCACCGACAGAGCCUAUCAUUCUAAAUAUCAAAUAUUCAACAAUAGAAGUAAUUAAAAAGAAAAACAUAUAAAAAACAAACCAUUGAACGAAUUAUUUAGGUAUAUUCGGGUAAGAUUGAUAAAUUGUAAAAAAAGAAUAUAUAGGAGUGGCAGAAAAAGAUAUAGAUAUAAAAAUUGCUAUCGAGAUAGAGAGAGAGUUCGGAUUACCUCAUGAUGGUGGCCGGUGAUGGUGGGGUAGAAGGGAAAGUACGACAAUGGUUCGGAACAAACUGACGGCGUGGUGAGCAAAGGGAAUUUUAGUGAGUAAAAACGAAUUGCGGGGAUUGAAUUAUUAGUAAUCUUUUAGAGGGAAUCAGGGGAAUAACUUACGUUUUACCUUUUAAAAAU